GGAAGUAAAAGUCGUAACAAGGUUUCCGUAGGUGAACCUGCGGAAGGAUCAUUACUGAUUUAGCGAACCGAGCAUUAGCGAGGUUUUGCGAUCAAUUUAUAUUUAAAACCCACUCUUUAAUGUAUAAAAUUUGUAUUAAUGAUAAAUUAAAAGAUCACUUUCAACAACGGAUCUCUUGGCUCUCGCAUCGAUGAAGAACGUAGCGAAGUGCGAUAAGUAAUGUGAAUUGCAGUAUUCCGUGAAUCAUCGAAUCUUUGAACGCAUAUUGCACUUUCUGGUAUUCCGGAAAGUAUGCCUGUUUGAGGGUCAGUUAAAUAAAAUCGGUGUUGUUGCUGCUUUCCGUGGUGACGCGUCGGAAUUGAGUCGUCUUCGGUUAAGUGACUUAAAAUUUUAUAUGAUUUUCGAACGUAUUUAAAUUUAUUUGAACGUUUGAUAUCGAAUGCUUAUUAGGUUCGGUCAUCCUCAUGACUCGCGCCUAUAAUUUUUCAUUAAAUGACCUCAAAUCAGGUAAGAAUACCCGCUGAACUUAAGCAUAUCAAUAAGCGGAGGA
This 550-nucleotide ribosomal RNA is filed under the name uncultured Glomus. RNAcentral's name for it is "eukaryotic LSU rRNA". The stretch from base 156 to 309 matches the Rfam family "5.8S ribosomal RNA". Lineage: Eukaryota; Fungi; Glomeromycota; Glomeromycetes; Glomerales; Glomeraceae. The record is from RNAcentral.